GGUGAAAAUGAUGAAUGCCGAGGCGCUGAUUCUUGUGACUUGAAAGACGCCAUCCAUUUCCUGAUUUGCC
Jaculus jaculus (lesser Egyptian jerboa) is the source of this 70-nucleotide small nucleolar RNA. Ensembl annotates it as small nucleolar RNA, C/D box 123. Its record names the gene Snord123. The record is from Ensembl. Lineage: Eukaryota; Metazoa; Chordata; Mammalia; Rodentia; Dipodidae.